AUACUACUCCCUCCGUCCCAAAAUAAGUGACUCAAAAGUGAGUGAACUUUGUACUAAAAUUAGUACAAAGUUCACUCACUUUUGAGUCACUUAUUUUGGGACGGAGGGAGUAUAUA
Molecule: non-coding RNA, 116 nt
Organism: Triticum aestivum (bread wheat)
Lineage: Eukaryota; Viridiplantae; Streptophyta; Magnoliopsida; Poales; Poaceae
Source: Rfam